UUAGUGGCGAACGGGGUAGUAAUGCAUAGGAACGUACCAAGAAGUCAGGAAUAACUGCGAGAAAUCGUAGCUAAUACUUGAUAGUCCCUCCGGGGUAAAUUUUAUCGCCUCUUGAUCGGCCUGUGUGGUAUCAGCUUGUUGGUAAGGUAAUGGCUUACCAAGGCAAUGACGCCUAGGGGAGGUGAGAGCCUGACCCCCACCAUUGGAACUGCGACACGGUCCAAACUCCUACGGGAGGCUGCAGUCGAGAAUCUUCCACAAUGAACGAAAGUUUGAUGGAGCGACGCCGCGUGAUUGAUGAAGCCCUUAGGGGUGUAAAGAUCUUUUGUGAGGGAAGAAAUUAUUGACAUUACCUCAAGAAUAAGGGGCUCCUAAUCUCGUGCCAGCAGGAGCGGUAAUACGAGAGCCUCAAGCGUUAUCCGGAAUUAUUGGGCGUAAAGGGUGCGUAGGUGGUUGCAUUAGUCGUAUGUUAAAGAUCCCGGCUUAACCGGGGGGCAGCGUACGAAACGGUGCAACUAGAGAAUGUGAGAGGUGUACGGAACUAACGGUGUAGGGGUGAAAUCCGUUGAUAUCGUUGGGAACACCAAAAGCGAAGGCAGUACACUGGCACAUUUCUGACACUGAGGCACGAAACCCUGGGUAGCGAAUGGGAUUAGAUACCCCAGUAGUCCAGUGGCCUAGACGAUGCAGAUUAGCUUUUCGGAGUAUCGACCCUCUGAGAGGCGUAGCUAACGCGUUAAAUCUGCCGCCUGGGAAGUACGAGCGCAAGCUUAAAACUCAAAGGAAUAGACGGGGACUCGCACAAGCAGUGGAUCAUGCGGUUUAAUUCGAUGAUAAACGAAGAACCUCACCAAGGUUAGACAUCUUAGACGACGAAUUUGGGAAACCAAAUUUUUCCUUCGGGACGGCUAGACAGGUGUUGCAUGGCCGUCGUCAGUUCGUGGCUUGAGUUGUACCAUUAAGUGGGCUAACGAACGCAACCCUCAUCGUGUGUUAUACGUGUCACACGAGACUGCCCGGCCCAA
This 1025-nucleotide ribosomal RNA is filed under the name uncultured organism. RNAcentral describes it as "bacterial SSU rRNA". It matches the Rfam family "Bacterial small subunit ribosomal RNA", at positions 92 to 1161 of the family's 1533-position model. The record is from RNAcentral.